This is a long non-coding RNA of Epinephelus moara (kelp grouper), 1748 nucleotides long. RefSeq lists it as uncharacterized. The transcript has 3 exons. Lineage: Eukaryota; Metazoa; Chordata; Actinopteri; Perciformes; Serranidae. The record is from RefSeq and is a predicted model, not a curated record.
CAUGACCAAACGUCAAUAUGUGACAAGGUCAGCGUGAGAAUGUGUUAAAAAAUCUAUAUUAGUCUAAGCGGACACUUUGUUGAGAAUCACCGCUUUACCUUGCUGUCAAACAGCCCUUUCCUUUGGCACUAUAUUUUCUCAACUGUAUAACGCCUGUAUUCGCAUGCAAACUGCAACUGUGUUACACCGCAGGUCAGCCAUUCAGGGAGACCUAUCAGCAGAAAUGAGAGAGGGGAAACUUCUGUGGAAAUGGAGGCCCAGACAGAACAGAAGCUUACUGUGAACUGUAAAUGCAUGCUGACAGACCCAGAGAGCUACUGCUGCCUGGACUUGGUUACAACACAACUUCAGGAUCUUUCUGAAUCAGAAGAUUCCAGAGAAUCACAUUUUACUGGUUGUUUGGUAUCCUGUCAACAGUUUUACAGACAUCUCUUCUAUAGCCUAAUGGUGGCCGGUGGAAGAAAAUACUUUUGGGGCCGCAGGGGAUUUUUUUUGGUGUAAUACCGUGACUGACCACUGGAAAAAAUUGGCAGUAAGGCUGAGCAGCAUUCCUGGGGGCCUGGAAGUCAGCUAACGUUUGUCACCGCAAGUUGGUCAUAUUGCUCAGCCCUCACGUGCUGAAGAUACAAACUCAACUCGCUAUGGUAACUGUCAGCCAAACAACAGUCAACAGUGCAGCGAACCUAAUGUAUCCAUCGCCUGCCAGACCAUACUACAUGCGAGCUCGCUCGUAUCUGCACUGCAUCAACCCCUGCUCAGGCUCUUUUUCUUCACCCCUGGGAAUAAGUUCUCUCUGCUCUCUCCUGUUGUUGUCUUUUGAAAGAAAGCUGCAGUCCUGUGCUGCUAAAUCAGCAGAUCUGCAGUACACUUGAUUCCCCGCUUCAUGCUCAGCAUCCCAAAGUAAAUGUUCCAAGAAACUUUCUACUACUGAGGCCCUCGAUUAUCAGUCAUGGCAUUCAAUUUUGGAGCACGUACAGUUUGUUUCAACGAUGAAUGAUAUCUUUCCAGCAAGCAAAAGAAAUAUUUAACAAUAAUAUUCCUAAGAAGAGCUGCGCUCAUACCUCAGAUAUUUUCUCCUGCUUGGUCUGUUGGCUAGAUGGAAAGUACUGUAUCUGUGUUUGGGCUCGUUUUGUGCUGUACGACAGUUACAGUACGUGAAGACAAGAGGAACUUUAUCCUGCUGCACAUGGGGAAACAUCUUAUUAAAGUUUCCCCUCUCAUCCGCCUGACACAGCUCAAGCCCGGCUAUGAGGGGCUCCUUCUCCGACACCUCGAUGUGAGAGACAGUGUGCACAUUAUGCAGCACUGUUGUGGAGGUUGGGUGGAAAAUUUUGCUGGGUCUGAGCUGUGCUUUCUUUGGCACCGGUGGCCUCUGGGCCAAAGCUUUUUCAUCUGUGAACUGACAGCUUCACCUUAGUUCAGGAAACUGAGGAGUCAGAUCCCCUGGAUCACCGAUCUGCUGGAGGAACAUUCAUAAUGUUUUUGAAUAAUUUACCUUGUAAUGUAAGCAAAUGUUUUAAGGAAAUAGCCUUUGUGUGCCUUUUUGUCUUGAUAGUUUGUACUUAAUGUGAAUUUGCCUCACAAGGUGUCCUUGUAAGCAUAAACCUGAACAUGCUAACAUGCUUAGAGGAACAGUGGGUAGGAUUUAGUGGCAUUUAGCAGUGAGGAUUGUAGCUCGAACUCCCAGUUAGGAUUCCUUCAGUGUUCGUUGUUCAGGAGGCUUUCAAUGGGAGCCAAAAUAUCCGAAU